This 403-nucleotide ribosomal RNA is filed under the name uncultured bacterium. RNAcentral describes it as "bacterial SSU rRNA". It matches the Rfam family "Bacterial small subunit ribosomal RNA", at positions 30 to 429 of the family's 1533-position model. The record is from RNAcentral.
AGUGAACGCUGGCGGCAUGCCUAACACAUGCAAGUCGAACGGCAGCACAGCAGUAGCAAUACUGUGGGUGGCGAGUGGCGGACGGGUGAGGAAUACGUCGGAAUCUGCCCAGUCGUGGGGGAUAACUAGCCGAAAGGUUAGCUAAUACCGCAUACGACCGAGAGGUGAAAGCGGGGGACCGCAAGGCCUCGCGCGAUUGGAUGAGCCGACGUCGGAUUAGCUAGUUGGUGGGGUAAAGGCCCACCAAGGCGACGAUCCGUAGCUGGUCUGAGAGGAUGAUCAGCCACACCGGAACUGAGACACGGUCCGGACUCCUACGGGAGGCAGCAGUGGGGAAUAUUGCGCAAUGGGCGAAAGCCUGACGCAGCCAUGCCGCGUGUGUGAAGAAGGCCUCGGUUGUAAG